Molecule: long non-coding RNA, 3761 nt
Filed under: Homo sapiens (human)
Lineage: Eukaryota; Metazoa; Chordata; Mammalia; Primates; Hominidae
Description: HSALNT0314023
Source: RNAcentral
UGCUUAAAUCUUUUUACUCUCUGAGUUAUGAAUUUAGGUUAGUUCUACAUCCAAGAUAAAUCUCAAUUAAUUCUUCUUUUUUCUUUUCCCAUUUCCUCCUGUCUCCCUCUCUUCUUUCCUUCUACUCUUUUCUUCACUUUUCUCUCUCUCUUCUUCUCAGUUUUUAUUUUUGUAAUUUGAAAUCAAUGUGCAAGCCAGAGCUUCUUUAGGAAAGACCAUUCCUGAGAGAACAACAGGAAGAAAUAUGAAUGUUAAACAUGUGGUGCCGUGUGGAAGCAAAGCUCCAUAAUUAAUCUAUAGAGCCAUCACCACUGUCAAAAGCAGAAAGGCCCCAGAGGAAAUAAUUUUUGUAUAGAAUGAUGGCAGCAUUAGUGACAGCAGUAAUGAUAAGACACUGAAAAGUAUGUGAAAAUUUCCUUUACAAUCCUGUGUGAGGUUUAAUUAUAAAAACUAGUAUCUUGGACACUUAACUAUUUUUUUUCAGAGGGAAUCAGAGCUAUUUCCAUGAAUUAAUGUCUUAAUCCCCACAACAAUGAGGUCGUGGUCAUCUAGUUGUAGAAUGACUCCUGCCUGCUACAUUUCCCCAGAUACCCAGGACCUUCAUGCUGUCACUCUCCAUGACCUGACCAACAUCUAUUUUGAGAAAUUAUUUUAUAUACUCAUUCAAACAGUCAUCUUUUGUGUCCAGAGUUGGUUCCUUCUGGUGGGUUCGUGGUCUCGCUAACUUCAAGAAUGGAGCCACGGACCUUCGCGCAACAGAAGAAUGCCAAGAUGGUAAUGUUUAGCAAGACUCUGCACACCUGUACCUGCAGACAGUAAGAACAAACGGAAUUAGAAGUACAGUUUUGAAAUGAAAUAGUAAGAAGGUAUUUGGUGACAUAAGAAUGAAUGAGUCCUGCAAAGGAAGAUACAAAGAAAGAAAAGGGCAGAUAACUGAGUAUCAAGCCUAUCAAGUUAAUUUUUAAAUCAUUUCCCUUUACCUUCUUUUAUCUUAUUUUGUUUGAGUCUUUCUAUCCUGUUCUUGUACUGGAAACAAGAUGUCAGCUUAACUAGCUCUAAAUUAACUGCAGCCUUAAGCAUGUGAAGUGAUGAUAGUCUCCAGGACAAGCUUGCUGUUUCAAAUCUUGGCAGUCUAGACUUGGCUUCUAGCUUCUCUACUUUUCUGCAUGGCUGGGAAAGAUAGACUGCAAAUUUAGGAGCAGAUUCUUCUAUAGCACUGUUCCAAUAUCAAAGAAAUGCCAGGAACUCACAGGGUUUCCUUCUUUCACAGCCAAUAGAUUAAUUAUUCUGUUUACGAUUUAUUCAGUAAGUAUUUAUUAAAUGCCUACUAUGGACCUAAUACUAGGCUAUAUAAUAAAUGUUUCUGCUCUAAUGGAGCUCAUGAUCGGGUAAGGCAAGAGACAACACAUAUAUAACAAACAAACAUUCAAUGACCAAUUUGAAGAUGCCGUAAAGGGAAGCAGACGGGGAUUGGACAGUGCAACAAAGAAAACAAGAUAUGGGGUAGUCAUGUUGGCUCCUAUGAGAAGAUAACACUUAAGCCAAAACCUUAAAAGAUAGCAGAGUCAGCCUGUGAAGAGAGAUGAAAAGAAUUUCAGGUAGAGGCAGCAGCAAAGAUCUUUGAGGACCUAUAGGCCUCCCAGUAAACCUGGAGCAGAAUGAAUAAGAGGAAGAGCUAGAUUUGCCAGGGAGGAAGGGUCCCAUCAUGCAGAGCUUCAUGGCUGUGGGGAGGACUUUGGAUGUUAGAAGGUUUAUUAAAAAAACCACUGAUAUUUAAGCACAGGUGUAGCAUGAUUCCAGGGAGCAACCUCAAAUAACGCUAAUACUAGACUUCCAAAUUGACAGUCCCUACAUUUUUUUUGCUGGUUGGUUCAUUUUCAUUUUGUUUUGUUUUGUUUUUAUUAAUUAGGCACUCUGAGUCUGCUGCAGGCUUGUGCCUCACAUGUACACAAAGCCACGGUCUUAAUUACAAGUUAGAUAACAAAUCAAACAAAUCUUUAAAGGGAAAAAAAGGUUAACAAAAUUUGAACCAUGUAGUCAUGAUAAAAUAAAAAAUAACAUGUCAGCACUUAGCAGUUGUUUUGAAGAGACAUUUUAAAGAAAAUAUAAACUGUGACUUAUGGCCACUGAUGGCAGAAAGGCUACAGACUUUGUAUGUGCAGGGUGGGAGAGACAUAAGAUAUUACCUUGGUUUUGACAUAUUACCAACAGAAAAUGCUAUUAAAUACCAGAAUGGGUUUCCUAGAGCUUCUUCCUGAGGGUUUUAGAAAUUCAAUACUCAUUUGUCUGAAAUAAUUGUGGCGUUUCCAUGUCUAAAGUAAAAGAGAUGGACUGGAUUUUUUUCAAGAUUUUCCUGAGAUGAAAAAGCCGUGAGUCCCCAAGAGUCUCUCAUAAAUAACAAACUGUACAGUAAAGAGAGAUCAGAAUUUGGCAAUUAGUAGGUGUUCAAUAGAUGUUAACUGGUUUCUUAGUCAUGAGUAAAAUGAUGAAUAUAGUAUUUCUGGGGAGAGAAAUAUUGUCUGCUAAUAUCUGAUAAUGGUGAGAAUCAGAUAUUUAACAAUUACCAUCAUACAUAAGAAACAUUCCAGGUAAUACUGUGAAACAUUCUCAGCAGCCGUGAGUCAGUCAAAUGGAAGUUAAUGUGUUUUGAAGAACACAUCACAGGUGAGAGAUGUGGGCAUCAGAGUCAGACGAAGCAGCAGUUAGCAGGAGGCGGCCAGUAUGAGAGAAGGCCAGCCACAAUAUGGAAGCAAUUGAUUGCUAAGGGUAAGUCCCGCCAAGUCAAUGGUGAAAGCCAUGAAAAAGCCAGUGGAAGUCGAAGAUGGAGGCCACGGUGGCAGAAGCCCCCUUGGAAGGAAUGUGCCACUAACACAGACAAUAAAUUGCCAGUCAAAUGGGGGAUGGCUCAAUGGAAAACAUCUAAAUCAGGGCAGGCCAGCCCACUGGCAGCAAGGCAAGCCAGUCAAUGGGGUAGUCACAGUGGAUCCAAAGGCAGAAUCAGUACAUCCAGGGGAACAUGAGAUGGGCAAUAUCUGCGGCAUGGGUUUAACUGAAGCUCACCAACUGGCAAGGGCAAUGCAUUUGGGUAGAACAGGAGAGCAGAGGACAGAAGCCAAGAGAUGUGAUUUGAGCUGUGCCAAGUGAGCAGAAUGGUCUCUGAGGAAAUAUCAGCUUCCUACCAACUAGGAGGCUUCUGGCAGUGUGAGAGCUGCACGCAAACUGCCAAGUGUGGCAGGGCAAGGAUCAUGGCAGCAGGCAUGUAGGAUGCACAGAGGGAACAGCUAAGCUACUACAUUGAGUGCCAACGUACUCCACUGGCAUCCUGCAGCCCAAUAUCCAAGCACAGCCUGAAAAACUGGAAGAGCACUGAAUGAGGAGGCAGAAGUUGAGGUUUAAACUCUAGUUCUGCACUAACUAUACCACCUUAUAUUAAAACUCUGCCUUGCUGUUGAUAGUUCGUUCUUUCUCAUCACCCAGAAACUGCAAGUCUCCCUCUCCAAACCAAAUUCCUGAGACUGGAGCCCUGACCUGAGACUGGAGGUGAUCCAAAUGCUGAUAGUCAUCCUUAUUGCCACUAUCCCACUCUGCAUUUCCUGGUUGGAUAAACAUCUAAGAAAAUGCUGGUUUUGUCUUCAUCCAUGCAUACUUCUCCAUCUGCUUUCCAGUCUAUGCUCUCACAUACUGUGUCUGAAAGCCUGAACUAGGCCAGGCGCAUUGGCUCAUGCCUGUAGUCCUAGCAUUUUGGGAAGCUGAGGCAGGUG